GUGUGUGUGUGUGUGCGACGUGAAGAGCAGGAGAAAGGGGGAGAACAAAACCCUAACAACACAAAAUCAAUUAAAUUGGAAAGGAAUUUGAGGGCAAAAUGAGUGCAUGAACUAAGCACUAUGAUCCCCUAAGUGUUCCUAACAUCAAGAGUCAUGUCAACAUGGAUACAAACAUGGAAGUUCCACGGGUCGAAGGUAAACACGGAAGCCAUGCUUAAAUUCGGACACUCGAGGUAAGUAAACUCCCGGACUCCAUCUUUAAUAGUAAUGGAAUUAAUUGUAUGAUAAUCGUUAAAGGUUAUGUUGAAAUUUGUUAUUGAAGAUGAUAUCGAAUGAGUAGUAUUAAGUAAGGGAUUUCCGUAAUCACUUCUUAGUUGGUGUGAGUAAUAUAAUGUUUUAAUUAAUUAAACACGAUGUUUGAGGUCAAAUAUGUGUUGAAGUCUUUCGUCGUAAAUGAUGGGAUUAAAGUUGAUUAAAACGCCCUUGAUAGGUAUAUUGGGCAAACGAUCUUAAAAGUAGUUUAGAAACAAGCUAUUCGAUUAGUGUAAUGUAUUGGUCAAGUAUGAAAGUGGGGAGUAUGGUUUUGUAUGUCAUAGACCAUUUAAUGCGCAUACACCUUAACGGGUCAAAAUAAGCUAUUGAGCGAAAAUGGGUGGAAAAGGUGUAAGGUAUCCGGGAAUGAAUCUUUUAUGAUAGAUGACCUAGAAAUUAUUAAGUUCAUAUGAAGUUAAGGUCAAACCAACAAGUUAUGUUGCUAAAUACAUGAACGGAUCGAAUAAAUCAUAAAUGAAUAAUAAGCUGAUAGUGCGUAAGCUAGGAAUUUCCUUAAUCUGGAUAUGGGAUUUCAAGUCCACUUGAUAGAAUGUUAAUUUACAAUCACGUAGGAAGAAACGUGACGCAAAACGGAUAAAAAAUGAGAGAGUUAUGUCCGUUAAGGUAAGAACUAAUGGCUUGGAAAAGUGCAGAGCUGACACGGCCGUGUGGUUAGCUGACACGGCCGGGUGAAGGUUCUGUCAAAAAUAUUAUUUAUAUGAUUUAUGCAUCGUAGGCUUCGGUAUAUUAUCCGUGGACUACGGUGGGCCUACCAAACAUGAUUUUUAUCGUUCCUUUGAUGUAUAUGAGUUAUAAAUCUAAGUCUAAGUCCCAUGUGAUUAAUGUAUGAGUAUGUAAGAGGUAUACAAGUUAUUGAACAUGUACAUAGGAACGUAUGUACGUAUGUAGAUGUGUAUUUAUGUAUAUAUGAAGGUACGUAUGAGUGUAUGCAUGUAUGUAGAGACAUAGGAAUGUAUGUACGUAUGUAGUUGUGUAUUUAUGUAUAUAUGAAGAUACGUAGGAGUAUAUGCAUGUAUGUAGAGAUGUAGAAAUGUAGGUACGUAUGUAAAUGUGUAUCCAUGUAUGUAUGCAUGAAGGUGCGUAUGAGUGUAUGCAUAUGUGUAGAGGUAUAGGAAGGCAUGUAGGUAUGUAGAUGUGGAUGUAUGCAUGAAAAAAAUGUAAGUAUGCCUGAUUUAGAUGCGUUGAGUAAUACGUUAUUAAUGGUGUACCUUGAGGAUGAAAAGUGAUGCAGGUACAUUAUUGAAGCCUCACCAGGAUACGGAUACGCAGAUGAAAUGCUUAAAGCUAGAAAGAUAAUGAAAAGGGGAAGUGUUGUGCAAAUCACGAGCGAUUAUCACGAGGAAUAGAGAUCGAAGACCGAGUCACAAGAUAGAUGUACGGGAUUAAUUGAGUAUAUACUUUAGCAAACGGAUGUUAUGCUUUUGUUUUGUAAAACAUAUAUUUUUAAAAUGAACUUUCAAGUAAGUUAAGACGUGUGUAAUAAAAGAAAUUUUACGGCAAGAAUUUCCGCUGCGACUU
Molecule: long non-coding RNA, 1851 nt
Filed under: Helianthus annuus (common sunflower)
Lineage: Eukaryota; Viridiplantae; Streptophyta; Magnoliopsida; Asterales; Asteraceae
Description: hypothetical non coding rna
Source: RNAcentral